AAACAAAGAGCAAAUUACAGGCACGAAUGAUCCAAUCAGGCGAGGUUUGGACGAUGGUGACGUGGGUGACGCGUGCAGCAACAGCGGUGUGGCGAGCUUCAACGACGGCAAGGCUUGCAGUGUGCAGCGACAGCAACGUGCUCAGGGGAGGCGACGACGGCAAGGCUUGCAGUGUGCAGCGAUAGCAACGUGCUCAGGCGAGGCUGCGACGCGAGGCUCAGGCGAGGCUGCAAGGAAGACGGCGACCGGUCGACGGCGUUACAAGCCCUUCAGAUUUGGCCGGCGUUAGAGAUUUGAAGGUUGCGGCUGCUGGUGAGUGGUGAGGUACCGUGAGGCUUGACUCUUGAGAGUGUGUGAAACUGGAUGCGAUAUUGU
This 375-nucleotide long non-coding RNA is filed under the name Citrus maxima (pomelo). RNAcentral describes it as "long non-coding RNA (CMAX_LNC001993)". The record is from RNAcentral. Lineage: Eukaryota; Viridiplantae; Streptophyta; Magnoliopsida; Sapindales; Rutaceae.